Molecule: non-coding RNA, 24 nt
Filed under: Arabidopsis thaliana (thale cress)
Lineage: Eukaryota; Viridiplantae; Streptophyta; Magnoliopsida; Brassicales; Brassicaceae
Source: RNAcentral
AGCUUGUCCUUUGGGAAAGUUGUU